Molecule: long non-coding RNA, 225 nt
Filed under: Medicago truncatula (barrel medic)
Lineage: Eukaryota; Viridiplantae; Streptophyta; Magnoliopsida; Fabales; Fabaceae
Description: long non-coding RNA (MTRU_LNC007607)
Source: RNAcentral
CACCAUCAGGUGUCAACUCACUAACCAAACUCAAAUCUCGAAACUGCUCAAUCAAUUCCAACUCUUUAACCAUCAAAGCAGACAUAUGCAAAGUCUUUCUACUCAAAGCAUCAGCAACAACAUUCACUUUCCCGGGAUGAUAACUCAACUGAAAAUCAAAAUCCUUAAGAUAUUCCAACCAUCUCCUCUGCCUCAUAUUCAACUCUUUCUGAUCAAACAAAUACU